Molecule: ribosomal RNA, 253 nt
Filed under: uncultured bacterium
Lineage: Bacteria
Description: partial 16S ribosomal RNA
Rfam family: Bacterial small subunit ribosomal RNA
Source: RNAcentral
UACGUAGGGGGCAAGCGUUGUUCGGAUUUACUGGGCGUAAAGGGCGCGUAGGCGGCUUGACAAGUCACUUGUGAAAUCUCCGGGCUUAACUCGGAACGGCCAAGUGAAACUGUCAUGCUAGAGUGCAGAAGGGGCAAUCGGAAUUCUUGGUGUAGCGGUGAAAUGCGUAGAUAUCAAGAGGAACACCUGAGGUGAAGACGGGUUGCUGGGCUGACACUGACGCUGAGGCGCGAAAGCCAGGGGAGCAAACGGG